Molecule: small RNA, 30 nt
Filed under: Bombyx mori (domestic silkworm)
Lineage: Eukaryota; Metazoa; Arthropoda; Insecta; Lepidoptera; Bombycidae
Description: piRNA piR-bmo-1718045
Source: RNAcentral
UUGACACAGGUAAGUGGGACAACGACCACC